Molecule: small RNA, 175 nt
Filed under: Arabidopsis thaliana (thale cress)
Lineage: Eukaryota; Viridiplantae; Streptophyta; Magnoliopsida; Brassicales; Brassicaceae
Description: ATSL272360
Source: RNAcentral
GUUAUUGCAUACUAGAACUGUUAGAACCAACCAACUUUCUGCUUGGCUUGACUUAGAGCUUUCUGAUCAUAUCUCAUCUGUUUGCAUCACACCGGAUUAGAUUGACAUCCUAAAAUACUACAACGACAAGAUAGUGUUUUAGGAUUAAUUGAGUAAAAUCCUACUAUCAUUACUC